AGAGUUUGAUCAUGGCUCAGAUUGAACGCUGGUGGCAUGCUUAACACAUGCAAGUCGAACGGUAACAGGUCUUCGGAUGCUGACGAGUGGCGGACGGGUGAGUAACGCGUAGGAAUCUGCCCAUCUGUGGGGGAUACCAGUUGGAAACGACUGUUAAUACCGCAUAAUAUCUGCGGAUUAAAGGUGGCCUUUGUGCUGCCGCAGAUGGAUGAGCCUGCGUUGGAUUAGCUAGUUGGUAGGGUAAGGGCCUACCAAGGCUACGAUCCAUAGCUGAUUUGAGAGGAUGAUCAGCCACAUUGGGACUGAGACACGGCCCAAACUCCUACGGGAGGCAGCAGUGGGGAAUAUUGGACAAUGGGGGAAACCCUGAUCCAGCAAUGCCAUGUGUGUGAAGAAGGCUCUAGGGUUGUAAAGCACUUUAGUUGGGGAGGAAAGCCUAUAAGUUAAUAGCUUGUAGGAAGGACGUUACCCAAAGAAUAAGGACCGGCUAACUCCGUGCCAGCAGCCGCGGUAAUACGGGGGGUCCGAGCGUUAAUCGGAAUUACUGGGCGUAAAGGGUCUGUAGGUGGUUUGUUAAGUCAGAUGUGAAAGCCCAGGGCUCAACCUUGGAACUGCAUUUGAUACUGGCAAACUAGAGUAUGGUAGAGGAAUGGGGAAUUUCUGGUGUAGCGGUGAAAUGCGUAGAGAUCAGAAGGAACACCAAUGGCGAAGGCAACAUUCUGGAUCAAUACUGACACUGAGGGACGAAAGCGUGGGGAUCAAACAGGAUUAGAUACCCUGGUAGUCCACGCUGUAAACGAUGAGUACUAGCUGUUGGAUUCGGUGUAAAGGAUCUAGUGGCGCAGCUAACGCGUUAAGUACUCCGCCUGGGGACUACGGCCGCAAGGCUAAAACUCAAAGGAAUUGACGGGGACCCGCACAAGCGGUGGAGCAUGUGGUUUAAUUCGAUGCAACGCGAAGAACCUUACCUGGUCUUGACAUCCUGCGAACUUUCUAGAGAUAGAUUGGUGCCUUCGGGAACGCAGUGACAGGUGCUGCACGGCUGUCGUCAGCUCGUGUUGUGAAAUGUUGGGUUAAGUCCCGCAACGAGCGCAACCCCUAUUGAUAGUUACCAUCAUUAAGUUGGGUACUCUAUUGAGACUGCCGCUGACAAGGCGGAGGAAGGUGGGGACGACGUCAAGUCAUCAUGGCCCUUACGACCAGGGCUACACACGUGCUACAAUGGGUAUUACAGAGGGCUGCGAAGGUGCGAGCUGGAGCGAAACUCAGAAAGGUACUCUUAGUCCGGAUUGCAGUCUGCAACUCGACUGCAUGAAGUCGGAAUCGCUAGUAAUCGCAGGUCAGAAUACUGCGGUGAAUACGUUCCCGGGUCUUGUACACACCGCCCGUCACACCAUGGGAGUGGGUUGCUCCAGAAGUAGAUAGUUUAACGAAUGGGCGUUUACCACGGAGUGAUUCAUGACUGGGGUGAAGUCGUAACAAGGUAACCGU
This 1491-nucleotide ribosomal RNA is filed under the name Francisella noatunensis subsp. noatunensis. RNAcentral describes it as "bacterial SSU rRNA". It matches the Rfam family "Bacterial small subunit ribosomal RNA". Lineage: Bacteria; Pseudomonadati; Pseudomonadota; Gammaproteobacteria; Thiotrichales; Francisellaceae. The record is from RNAcentral.